This is a non-coding RNA of Macaca mulatta (Rhesus monkey), 5727 nucleotides long. Lineage: Eukaryota; Metazoa; Chordata; Mammalia; Primates; Cercopithecidae. The record is from RefSeq and is a predicted model, not a curated record.
GGGCAGACUGGGGCAGCACUGGGGAGAGGCUGUGUGGUAGGCCAGUGUCUCCCAGAAGGUGGUGGCUGGUCAGGUAGGCCCAGUUCAGAUGCUGGGGAGACAUGGGGGCAUGGCACACAGGCCACACGCAGCCUGGGAGGCCCCCAAGAUCAGGCCCCACCUGAAGACACCAGGUCGUUUUCCCUGGGCCAGGCCCUUGGAAAGGAGGAGGGAGUUGGGGAGGGAGAACGGAACCCUGGUUCUCUGGCAGGCCCCAUCCACCCAUGGCCUGUGGGCUCCAGGGAGAGCAUGGCCAGGGUGCCCAAGGAGAUGAGGAGGAGGCCCCUCAUGCUUGAUGACCUCUCCUGCUCACUAGGGUUUAUCAGCAUCAUUUAAGAUCAGCCUUGUGCUGUGGGUUCCUGGCGUGCUGUGGAUAACGCUCUGCCAGGGGUCAGCCCAGGCAUGAGGGGUGGAGACUAGGCUGGAAAGGGGAGGGGCUUGCAGAGGGCUGGGCUUUUCCAGGGGAUCAGGGUUCAGAACAGAGGUUUGGGGAGAGAAAGGGUUCAGAGAUGACCUGGGGUUCAGGCACAGGCAGACAGAAGGACCCCAAGCAGGACUGGCCUUCCAGACAGGAAAGAGGGUUGCGGAGACACAGGAGGCCAAUUUAGAGAGGCAGAGGAGAAAGGAGUUUCAUGGGAAGACAGGGCUUGGAGAGAGAUGAGGGAGGGAAACGGGGGCCGCCAUGCACCCUCAGCUUCCGGGGGACUUUGGAGGGGGUCGGGGCUCAGUGGGAGCCGGAGGUUGGUGAAGAGGACCCAGUUUAGGGCACCUGUGUGGUGAAGUGGGGGACUCGGAGGGAGGCAGGGAGGCAAGGCCAGAGUUUUCUCUUUGGGGAGGGACUCAUGGGGACUGUUAUGGGGAUGGAAGAUCAGUUGGGGUCAAGCGUACGGUGAGAGUGAGGAUGUGGUGGGGCAGCGGAGGCGGCUGAGGCUGGGAGGACCAGCAUUGGUUAGGAAAAGUGAUUCACAGGGAACAAAGAAGCCUCAGGGGACCGGGCCCAGAAGGGCUGGUAGGGAUCGCAGAGAGGCUGUGGGCAGGUGAGUGGACCAGCCUUCAGGGAGACAAGUGUCCUUAGCAGCCAGGACCUCAGCAUGGGACCAGAGCUCGGAAUGGGACACUUUGCCCUGCGGGCAGAGGGAGUGUGACCUGGGGUCUGUGCAGGAGAGGCCGCAUGCUCCCAGACUCUGGGAGUGAACUGGAGUGGGGCCCUGGCUGGGUGAAGUCAGACUCCAGGAAAGGGGGCAGGAGCUCCGAUGGGAGAAGUGGGCUCAGCCAGGAAGGAACAGAGUAGGGGUCUCUGAAACUUGUCGGAGGGCCUGGACUUGGUGGGCUAAGGAGGGAAGGGACUGGAGGGUGGCCUUGGGGGCCUUGGUGACUUGGUUAGAGAUAGGACAGGCAGAGAUGGGCACUCAGGUAGAAGGCCUGCUGGGGCUCAGGGGACUGGAGCUUCUUCAGGAGGGAACUGAGCUGCUGGAACUGAGAGUCAACAGGCCAGAAGGGCAGGACCCAGGGGCGGGGGUCCCUUGAGGCAGCAGGGCCCAGGCGCUGGGGUAGAGCGCGAUGGGGAGAGCGUUAAUAGGAAGGGGGUCUCUCUUGGGGAGGCAGAUAGAGAGGGUUCCGGGAGCCGCUAGUCUUUCACGGGGCGGGGGGCUCCGCGAGAGGGAUGGGGCCGGGUGGGGUGGGGAGGAAGACACAGCGGGUCCGGGGAGAUGGAGGUGGCGCCGGCACCCUGGUCGGGCGCUGUAGGGGUCCCAUCCCUGCAGGACCUUGCAACUCCCCGGGGUCGCGGCUUCCGGCCGGGCCCGCAGCCCCCACCCUCCCGGCAGGAGGAGGCGGGAGGCGGGGAGGUGGCUGCGCCCGCCGCCGCCGCCGUGAGUCAGGUUCUGGGCUGCAGCCGCGCGGCCGGUCUGGCGCUGCGGAGGGAGCACAGGCGGCUGGGGAGGCAGCGGCGCCGCCGCCGAGCCCCGCACGCUCCCCACCCCCUCAAGGUUGGGCCGCUGGGACGCGGAUCAGUGGACAGACAGCGGCCCGCGGGACGGCGGAAGGACGCGCGCACCGAGGCGCAGGGGGUCCGGCCGCGCGCCGAGGAGGAGUCGUUUGUAGGUGAGGAGGCGCCGUCCGAGCGGUUGCGGCAGACCCGGGUCGGGCUGGGGGCCGCAGAGCCUCGGCCGCAGACCCCCCGGCGCGCGCUGCACGGGCGCUGGGCACGCGGGGUGGCGCAGGGCGCGAGCGACUUGGUGCCGCGUUGGAGAAGUGUUCGUUUCGCAGCCUGUCAUUGCCCAGGGCCCCGACCAGUGCCCAGCCCCGCUGGGAGCCCCGGCCAGCACCACGGACGGCGCCCAGGAAGCCCGAGUCCCCCUGGACGGGGCCUUCUGGAUCCCGAGGCCCCCGGCAGGUUCGCCCAAGGGCUGCUUCGCUUGCGUGUCCAAGCCCCCCGCCCUGCAGGCUCCAGCGGCCCCUGCCCCUGAGCCCUCGGCCUCUCCCCCGAUGGCGCCCACACUGUUCCCCAUGGAGUCCAAGAGCAGCAAGACCGACAGCGUGCGGGCCACCGGCGCGCCCCCGGCCUGCAAGCACCUAGCCGAGAAGAAGACGAUGACCAACCCCACGACCGUCAUCGAGGUCUACCCGGACACCACCGAGGUGCGAGACAAGAAGCUUCUCAAUGACCUGAAUGGAGCCGUGGAGGAUGCAAAGACGGCCCGGCUGUUCAACAUCACCAGCUCUGCCCUGGCAGCCUCCUGCAUCAUCCUCGUCUUCAUCUUCCUGCGGUACCCCCUCACCGACUACUAAGGCCUGCCAGGCACGUCUGCUGGCGGAGACAAGCCCUGAGACAUGUUUAUUCUCAUGGUCCCUGAAACGCAGGAUCCCAUGAGGUUGGGGCAGGGCAGAGCUUCUUGUCCUGGGGCUCCCUUGAGCUGUGAACCGGGCAGCAAGGCCAUCAGAAGCUGAGUACAGCAAGGGGGCAGUGAGCUUGGCCCUCAGCCCACCCCCUCCGCCUCCUGGCCUCCGCCCUGCCUGUGUCUGGGGCCUGGGGGCUUCUCCCCUCGCUGCUGCACCCUGGCUUCCAGUGUCUGUGUCCCUGCCCUCACGUGCCCCUUCCCAGGCUCCUGGGGCUCCUUGGACCUGACACCUAGCAGGAAGGGCUUAGGCAAAAGUGUCCCAGGAUGGGACGACUCACUCUAUGCUCCCUGUCCCUGCCUCCUCCACGCUGUGACCCUGCUCAGAGCCCUCGUGUCUGUGAACUUUCAAUGAAAUACCCAUGCAGCUCCAGCCCAGCCUUCUACUUUGUGUCCCUGGCAGGGCCUGGAAAAGUCUGGAAGCUUUGCAAGCCUCCUUCAGGAACUGCCUGGAGGUCAGGGCCCCUGGCACUGUGUCACAGCGGACUGCAGGAGACAGUCUGCUCCAUUACAGCUGUGCCAGAUGGUGAAUGGGGGGGUGGGCAUUUGGUGGAGGUACCCCAAACUCGAGUCGCUUAGAGGGUCAGGCAGCCUCCUGGGGGGAAGGAAGUGGUAGAGCACAGCCUCAGCUGCCUGCGUUGGCCAAAUCAGAGCAAAGGAAACCACACAUUCACUCAGAAGGAAGCAGCAGGCAGAGACGAUAGACCCCUGGCUAACCCCUGUCCCUCCUGGAGGGCUCUGGGACCCGGGCAGGCCCCUUUACCUCUCUCGUGCCCAUCUCCUUAACUGUAACAUAGGAAAAUGACCUUUCACUUCUACAAUCACUGUGAAAAUCAACUGAAGAUGCUGUUCAAAGGCCAAGACCCGUGCCAUCCCGGUCCAUGGCACGUGCAGUCUGCAAUGUGGAAGGCAGGAUGCAGGGAUGGGCUCUGUCCCCUUGGAACUCAGGCAGAGUCAUGGGGGUGCCGGUCAGCCCUGAAGACAAGUCUGAUGAGGGUGCACUAGGAAAAGUGAAGGGUGUCAAGGCACACGAAGGAGGCGGGGAGGUGAAGAUGAAGAAGAUGAGGCACUGGCCAUGGGUGCAGAGCCUCACGCUGUGGGGGCCCCGCUGGUCUGGGAAACUGCAGGAAAUCCCACAGCUCAGGUGUGCAGUGGGAAGGACUUAUCAUCCCAUGGGAAGGCAGGCAAACUUUCCCAGGGAAGGGGCAUGGCCGUGCGCUUCGUGUUUUGGGAAGAUCAUGCUCUCCGGGGUAGCGAGGCCAGCUUGGAGGGGAUCCCAAUGGACAGAGGUGGAUGCAAGUGGAGGAGCUGAGCCUGGGCUGGGGCCAGCAGCAGAGGGUUGGACAGCAGGGCGCCUGGCAGCUGUGCAGGUGGUGGGGUUGACUGGUUUGGGAGGUAAGCUGGGGGAGAAGCCUGGAGGAUUCCUGCCCCUUGACUUGAACAGCCCAGUGGGUAGAGAGGGCUGUGUACCAACAGCAGGAAACCAGGGAGAAGAAGAUGUUGACUUUGAGACACCAAGCAGAGAAGGGAAGAGCCUUCUGGGCUGGAGACGUGGGAUGCCUCGGAAGGGAGGACCUUGAGUUAGCAGCAGAUGGGACAGACGCAGGAGACAGGGCAUACCAUGGCAGGAGUGCAGUGAGCAAGAGGCAGGUCACAGUCUUGACCCAGAAACCUGCAAAGGAAGGCAGGAUGGCUAACACCUGCCCAUGGGCCUGGGUUGCAGCCCAGGCGGAGGUGGAGGGGUUGCUCAGGGAAGAGGGGAGGGGAGGGGAGUGUGUGACCUCAAAACGGGAGGGCUUGGGGGUCCGAGUCGAGAGAGGGGACAGGGUGGGGACCAUGUGGGACUCUUGAGCACUGACCCUUCACCCUAGGCAGUGGUGGGAUGGGCGGGCAGGAGGCGGCGGCUGCGAGGCUGAUACAGGGCUGCAUGGAGCUGUCAUCGUGCCUCUUGGAGGAUGGUGGGAGAGGUGCCAGGGGCGGCUGAACGCCUCACCGAGCAUGUGGGCAACCCGGUUGUGGGCACUUUGGAUGCUUUCACCAUUAGACCCAGAGGCUUUCCUGAAUGAGCCUGGGCUGGAAAAUGAUGGCAGAGGCUGCUGGGCCUUGGAAGAGAGAGGGUCCUAGCUUCUAAUUCCUGGGGCACCUGGGGGAGACCUGGGUCCUGGGUCAUGAGGUCAGCUAAGGCCAACCCCAGUGUCCAGGUGUCGUCCAAGUUAUGCCUGGGAGGGAAGAAAGUAGAGGGGCAAAUGCUUUCUUUCCCUAUUUUCCUUAAGCCUUCGAUGCCAGUGCUGGUGGCUGCCUGGGACAGGGGCCAGGAGGAAACACACCUGCAUUAGGGAAGCCCUCAGCCAGCUUUUCCCUGGGACGUGCCUGUGCCUGGCUGAAGCUUUCUGAGUUCAUGCUGGGGAAAUGGAACAGUUACCUUCCAGCCAGUAGAGGCACCCCUAGCUCUUGGGAUGUUUGUAUCCAACUCCGGGCAAUGUGGGGCUACAAAGGCCCCUGGCUUCCACACCCUGGGGACCGGGGGAAGACUGGUGCUCCCACGAUGGGUGUCCACAGUGAGGUCAGGCCCCCAUAGCAGGUGCAUUCUCGCCCUCAGCAGGCAAGCAAGCAGGCGUCAGCUCCAGCACUGGGGUCCGGCUUUGAAGUCUGUGUCUCUGCCUGUCUGUACUCAUGCCUGACCUGCUGGCACGCCCUGUCCACUGCACUCCUCCCGCCUCAUUUUUAUGUGAUUUUGCACAGUGCCUGGCAAACAUUGGACGUUCAAUAAACAUUGUAUGAAUGAAAGAAA